RNAcentral lists this unclassified non-coding RNA (498 nucleotides) under uncultured Glomus. Its description in RNAcentral is "SSU rRNA". It matches the Rfam family "Eukaryotic small subunit ribosomal RNA", at positions 591 to 1092 of the family's 1831-position model. The record is from RNAcentral. Lineage: Eukaryota; Fungi; Glomeromycota; Glomeromycetes; Glomerales; Glomeraceae.
CCAAUAGCGUAUAUUAAAGUUGUUGCAGUUAAAAAGCUCGUAGUUGAAUUUCGGGAUUAGUACGCUGGUCGUGCCUUCGGUAUGUACUGGUGUUACUGGUUCCUACCUUCUGACGAACCGUCAUGUCAUUAAUUUGGUGUGGCGGGAAAUCAGGACUGUUACUUUGAAAAAAUUAGAGUGUUUAAAGCAGGCUCGCGCUUGAAUACAUUAGCAUGGAAUAAUGAAAUAGGACGUUCGAUCCUAUUUUGUUGGUUUCUAGGAUUGACGUAAUGAUUAAUAGGGAUAGUUGGGGGCAUUAGUAUUCAAUUGUCAGAGGUGAAAUUCUUGGAUUGAUUGAAGACUAACUACUGCGAAAGCAUUUGCCAAGGAUGUUUUCAUUAAUCAAGAACGAAAGUUAGGGGAUCGAAGACGAUCAGAUACCGUCGUAGUCUUAACCAGAAACUAUGCCGACUAGGGAUCGGAUGAUGUUAUUUUUAAUGACUCAUUCGGCGCCUUACG